GACGAACGCUGGCGGCGUGCUUAACACAUGCAAGUCGAGCGGUAAGGCCCUUUCGGGGGUACACGAGCGGCGAACGGGUGAGUAACACGUGGGUGACCUGCCCUCAGCUCUGGGAUAAGCCGUGGGAAACCGGGUCUAAUACUGGAUAUGACUCCAUGACGCAUGGUUGUGGGGUGGAAAGCCUUGUGCGGCUGAGGAUGGGCCCGCGGCCUAUCAGCUUGUUGGUGGGGUGAUGGCCUACCAAGGCGACGACGGGUAGCCGG
This 263-nucleotide ribosomal RNA is filed under the name uncultured bacterium. Its description in RNAcentral is "partial 16S ribosomal RNA". It matches the Rfam family "Bacterial small subunit ribosomal RNA", at positions 28 to 290 of the family's 1533-position model. The record is from RNAcentral.